AUUUCUCAAGCUUGAGGUGGUGCUUCUUGCCUACCCUCAGUCUCUGGUACUGGGCUUUGCUGUGUUCAUUGUCUGAAACAGCUGGCCUUAAAAUCAUCAGCUGGUUCAUUUAUGAAGCGCCGGUUCUACUCAGUGUGAUAAUAAUUUGAUCACUGAGGACAUCUUUUGGGAUGGCCAGUGCUCACAUGGGCUGUUUCUAACGUUGACCGCAAAUUCAUUUAAUUUGUGCUGUCUAUAGUUGA
RNAcentral lists this unclassified non-coding RNA (242 nucleotides) under uncultured Agaricomycetes. RNAcentral describes it as "sequence contains ITS2". Lineage: Eukaryota; Fungi; Basidiomycota; Agaricomycetes. The record is from RNAcentral.